UCAAUAGAAGCCAAAAAGAGGCAUGCCACUGUUAAUGUCAUUAAUGAAAUUUUUUCCUAUUGAG
Molecule: transfer RNA, 64 nt
Filed under: Neopetrolisthes maculatus (porcelain anemone crab)
Lineage: Eukaryota; Metazoa; Arthropoda; Malacostraca; Decapoda; Porcellanidae
Description: tRNA-Asn
Source: RNAcentral